GACGUAGGGCGCGAGCGUUGUCCGGAUUUAUUGGGCGUAAAGAGCUUGUAGGCGGCUUGUCGCGUCGUCCGUGAAAACCUGCGGCUCAACUGCAGGCUGGCGGUCGAUACGGGCAGGCUAGAGUACUGCAGGGGAGACUGGAAUUCCUGGUGUAGCGGUGAAAUGCGCAGAUAUCAGGAGGAACACCGGUGGCGAAGGCGGGUCUCUGGGCAGUAACUGACGCUGAGGAGCGAAAGCGUGGGGAGCGAACAGG
This 253-nucleotide ribosomal RNA is filed under the name uncultured bacterium. RNAcentral describes it as "partial 16S ribosomal RNA". It matches the Rfam family "Bacterial small subunit ribosomal RNA", at positions 524 to 776 of the family's 1533-position model. The record is from RNAcentral.